AAAAAAAAAAACCAUGGGUUUACGUGUCCAACAUUUGACUGUCCGUCUUAUAUGAAAUUUUUUUAUAAUUAGUAUUUUCAUUGUUGUUAGAUGAUAAAACAUGAUUAAUACUUUAUGCGUGACUUAUCCUUUUAAUUUUUUUUAUAAUUUUUUCAAAUAAGACGGACGGUCAAACGUUGGACACGGAAACCCAGGGUUUGUCUUUUU
RNAcentral lists this microRNA precursor (207 nucleotides) under Oryza glumipatula. RNAcentral describes it as "MIR812 microRNA precursor family". It matches the Rfam family "MIR812 microRNA precursor family". The record is from Rfam by way of RNAcentral. Lineage: Eukaryota; Viridiplantae; Streptophyta; Magnoliopsida; Poales; Poaceae.